AUUAGCAUAUCAUUAAGCGGAGGAAAAGAAACUAACAAGGAUUCCCCCAGUAACGGCGAGUGAAGCGGGAAGAGCUCAAGCUUAAAAUCUCCAUACUUGUAUGGCGAAUUGUAGUCUAUUGAGGCUGUUGUCAGCAUCGCGAUCGGGGACAAGUCCCUUGGAAAAGGGCAGCAUGGAGGGUGAUACUCCCGUCUCUGCUCCGAUUUGCGGUGUGUACGAUACGCUUUCUUUGAGUCGAGUUGUUUGGGAAUACAGCUCAAAGUAGGUGGUAAAUUCCAUCUAAAGCUAAAUAUUGGUGCGAGACCGAUAGCGAACAAGUACCGUGAGGGAAAGAUGAAAAGAACUUUGAAAAGAGAGUUAAAGAGUACCUGAAACUGUUGAAAGGGAACCGUAUCGUUUCCAGUGUUUUAUCCUGUGCAUAUUUCAUUCGCGGAGCAAUUUGCGGGUGCCCUGUGCAUGGGUGUGACGUCAGAGUCAGUUUGUAUGCUGCGGGAGAUGGUCAGUGAGGAGGUGCGUCACUUCGGUGAAAGUUAUAUCUCGCUGUCUAGUAGCCGUGGUUGAGACUGAGGUGCCUACAACAUGCCUUGGGGUUUCGUGUUGUCUCGUGUUAAUAACUGCUUUGAUAGCUUGCUAUGUCUGUGGUUUAUUGAUGCGAUUGAUGAUGCGGAUAACCUCUGCUGUUCGGGACUCUGGCGAAAUGGAGCGAUACGACCCGUCUGA
Molecule: ribosomal RNA, 720 nt
Filed under: Saprolegnia sp. UNCW257
Lineage: Eukaryota; Oomycota; Saprolegniomycetes; Saprolegniales; Saprolegniaceae
Description: eukaryotic LSU rRNA
Rfam family: Eukaryotic large subunit ribosomal RNA
Source: RNAcentral